RNAcentral lists this long non-coding RNA (6855 nucleotides) under Ananas comosus (pineapple). RNAcentral's name for it is "long non-coding RNA (ACOM_LNC038165)". The record is from RNAcentral. Lineage: Eukaryota; Viridiplantae; Streptophyta; Magnoliopsida; Poales; Bromeliaceae.
GUUGCGCCAUAACAGUAUAACUUUGCAACGAGUGCUUUUUCUCAUUUUAUCGAAAAAGCGCAAAUUUAAUUAUAUUGUUCUAUAAUGCCCAGAGAGUGUAAAAUUUGGAACGAAUCGAUGUCAACGCUCACAAGAACAAAAACCGGAACAACAUCAGACUACUCAGUUGCGCCAUAACAGUAUAACUUUGCAACGAGUGCUUUUUCUCAUUUUAUCGAAGAAAAAGAGUAAAACAUAAUUAUAUUGUUCUAUUAUGCCCAGAGAGUGUAAAUUUGGAACGAAUCGAUGUCAACGCUCGCAAGAACAAAAACCGAAACAACUUUAGACUACUCAGUUGCGCAAUAACAGUAUAACAUUGCAACGAGUGAUUUUUCUCAUUUUAUCGAAGAAAGCGUAAAACCUAAUUAUAUUUUUCUAUUAUGACCAGAGAGUGUAAAUUUGGAACGAAUCGAUGUCAACGCUCACAAGAACAAAAAUCGGAACAACAUUAGACUACUCAGUUGCUCCAUAACAGUAUAACUUUGCAACGAGUACUUUUUCUCAUUUUAUCGAAGAAAACGCAAAAUCUAAUUAUAUUGUUCUAUUAUGCCCAGAGAGUGUAAAUUUGGAACGAAUCGAUGUCAACGCUCACAUGAACAAAAAUCGGGACAACAUUAGACUACUGAGUUGCGCCCUAACAGUAUAAAUUUGCAACGAGACCUUUUUCUCAUUUUAUCGAAGAAAGCAUCAAACCUAAUUAUAUUGUUCUAUUAUGCCCAGACAGUGUAAUUUUGGAACGAAUCGAUGUCAACGCUCACAAGAAUAAAAACCGGAACAACAUUAGACUACUCAGUCGCGCCCUAACAGUAUAACUUUGCAACGAGUACUUUUUCUCAUUUUAUCGAACAAAGCGUCAAACCUAAUUAUAUUGAUUUAUUAUGCCCAGAGAGUGUAAAUUUAGAACGAAUCGAUGUCAACGCUCACAAGAACAAAAACCGGAACAACAAUAGACUACUUAGUUGCGCCAUAACAGUAUAACUUUGCAACGAAUGCUUUUUCUCAUUUUAUCGAAAAAGCGCAAAUUUAAUUAUAUUGUUCUAUAAUGCCCAGAGAGUGUAAAAUUUGGAACGAAUCGAUGUCAACGCUCACAAGAACAAAAACCGGAACAACAUGAGACUACUCAGUUACGCCCUAACAGUAUAAAUUUGCAACGAGCACUUUUUCUCAUUUUAUCGAAGAAAGCAUUAAACCUAAUUAUAUUGUAAUAUUAUGCCCAGAGGGUGUAAAUUUGGAACGAAUCGAUGUCAACGCUCACAAGAACAAAAACCGGAACAACAUUAGACUACUCAGUUGCGCCAUAACAGUAUAAUUUUGCAACGAGUGCUUUUCUCAUUUCAUCGAAGAAAGCGCAAAUCUAAUUAUAUUGUUCUAUUAUGCCCAGAGAGUGUAAAUUUGGAACGAAAUCGAUGUCAACGCUCACAAGAACAAAAACAGGAACAACAUUAGACUACUCAGUUGCGCCCUUACAGUAUAACUUUGCAACGAGUACUUUUUCUCAUUUUAUCGAAGAAAGCGUAAAACCUAAUUGUAUUCUUCUAUUAUGCCCAGAGAGUGUAAAUUUGGAACGAAUCGAUGUCAACGUUCACAAGAACAAAAACCGGAACAACAUUAGACUACUCAGUUGCGCCCUAACAGUAUAACUUUGCGACGAGUACUUUUUCUCAUUCUAUCGAACAAAGAGUAAAACAUAAUUAUAUUGUUCUAUUAUGCCCAGAGAGUGUAAAUUUGGAACGAAUCGAUGUCAACGCUCGCAAGAACAAAAACCGAAACAACUUUAGACUACUCAGUUGCGCAAUAACAGUAUAACAUUGCAACGAGUGAUUUUUCUCAUUUUAUCGAAGAAAGCGUAAAACCUAAUUAUAUUUUUCUAUUAUGACCAGAGAGUGUAAAUUUGGAACGAAUCGAUGUCAACGCUCACAAGAACAAAAAUCGGAACAACAUUAGACUACUCAGUUGCGCCCUAACAGUAUAACUUUGCAACGAGUACUUAUUCUCAUUUUAUCGAACAAAGCGUCAAACCUAAUUAUAUUGAUUUAUUAUGCCCAGAGAGUGUAAAUUUGGAACGAAUCAAUGUCAGCGCUCACAGGAACAAAAACCGGAACAACAAUAGACUGCUUAGUUGCGCCAUAACAGUAUAACUUUGCAACGAGUGCUUUUUCUCAUUUUAUCGAAAAAGCGCAAAUUUAAUUAUAUUGUUCUAUUCUGCCCAGAGAGUGUAAAUUUGGAACGAAUCGAUGUCAACGCUCACAAGAAAAAAAACCAGAACAACAUUAGACUACUCAGUUGCGACAUAACAGUAUAACUUUGCAACGAGUACUUUUUCUCAUUUUAUCGAAGAAAACGCAAAAUCUAAUUAUAUUGUUCUAUUAUGCCCAGAGAGUGUAAAUUUGGAACGAAUCGAUGUCAACGCUCACAUGAACAAAAAUCGGGACAACAUUAGACUACUGAGUUGCGCCCUAACAGUAUAAAUUUGCAACGAGACCUUUUUCUCAUUUUAUCGAAGAAAGCAUCAAACCUAAUUAUAUUGUUCUAUUAUGCCCAGACAGUGUAAUUUUGGAACGAAUCGAUGUCAACGCUCACAAGAAUAAAAACCGGAACAACAUUAGACUACUCAGUCGCGCCCUAACAGUAUAACUUUGCAACGAGUACUUUUUCUCAUUUUAUCGAAGAAAGCGUCAAACCUAAUUAUAUUGUUCUAUAAUGCCCAGAGAGUGUAAAUUUGGAACGAAUCGAUAUCAACACUCACAAAAAUAAAAACCGGAACAACAUUUGAGUACUCAGUUGUGCCUCUAACAGGUAUAACUUUUUGCAACCAGUACUUUAUUCUCAUUUUUUUGAAGUAAGCGGCCAAAACUAAUUUAUAUUGUAUUCUAUUUAGCCCCAGAGAGCUUGUAAAUUUCUGGAACGAAUUGAUGUCAACGCUCCACAAGAACAAAAACUGGAACAAAAUUAGGCUACUUAGUUGCGCCCUAACAGUAUAACUUUGCAACGAGUGCUUUUUCACAUUUUAUCGAAGAAAGCGUCAAACCUAAUUAUAUUGCUCUAUAAUGCCCAGAGAGUGUAAAUUUGGAACGAAUCGAUAUCAACACUCACAAAAAUAAAAACCGGAACAACAUUUGAGCACUCAGUUGUGUGCCCUUAACAGGUAUAACUUUUGCAACCAGUACUUUUUCUUCAUUUUAUCGAAAGUAAUGCGUCAAAACUAAUUUAUAUUAUGUCUCUUUUACGCCCAGAAGAGAGUAAAUCUGGAACGGAAUCGAUGUCAACGCUCACAAGAACAAAAACUGGAACAAAAUUAGGCUACUUAGUUGCGCCCUAACAGUAUAACUUUGCAACGAGUGCUUUUUCACAUUUUAUCGAAGAAAGCGUCAAACCUAAUUAUAUUGCUCUAUAAUGCCCAGAGAGUGUAAAUUUGGAACGAAUCGAUAUCAACACUCACAAAAAUAAAAACCGGAACAACAUUUGAGUACUCAGUUGCGCCUUAACAGUAUAACUUUGCAACCAGUACUUUUUCUCAUUUUAUCGAAGUAAGCGUCAAACCUAAUUAUAUUAUUCUAUUAUGCCCAGAGAGUGUAAAUUUGGAACGAUUCGAUGUCAACGCUCACAAGAACAAAAACCGGAACAACAUUAGACUCUUCAGUUGCACCCUAACAGUAUAACUUUGCAACGCGUACUUUUUCUCGUUUUAUCGAAGAAAGCGUAAAAUCUAAUUAUAUUGUUGUAUUAUGCCCAGAUAGUGUAAAUUUGGAACGAAUCGAUGUCAACGCUCACAAGAACAAAAACCGGAACAACAUUAGAGCACUCAGUUCCGCCAUAACAGUAUAACUUUGCAACGAGUGCUUUUUUUCAUUUUAUCGAAGAAAGCGUAAAACCUAGUUAUAUUAUUCUAUUAUGCCCAGAGAGUGUAAAUUUGGAACGAAUCGAUUUCAACGCUCACAAGAACAAAAACCGGAACAACAUUAGACUACUCAGUUGCGCCCUAACAGUAUAACUUUGCAACGAGUACUUUUUCUCAUUUAUCGAAGAAAGCGUCAAACCUAAUUAUAUUGUUCUAUCUUGCCCAGAGAGUGUAAAUUUGGAACGAAUCGAUGUCAAAGCUCACAAGAACAAAAAUCGGAUCAAUAUUAGACUACUCAGUUGCGCCCUAACAGUAUAACUUUGCAACGAGUGCUUUUUCUCAUUUUAUCGAAGAAAGCGUAAAUCUAAUUAUAUUGUUCUAUUAUACCUAGAGAGUGUAAAAUUGGAACGAACUGAUGUGAGCGCUCACAAGAACAAAAACCGGAUCAAUAUUAGACUACUCAGUUCCGCCCUAACAGUAUAACUUUGCAACGAGUACUUUUUCUCAUUUAUCGAAGAAAGCGUCAAACCUAAUUAUAUUGUUCUAUUAUGCCCAGAGAGUGUAAAUUUGGAACGAAUCGAUUUUAAAGCUCACAAGAACAAAAACCGGAACAAUAUUAGACAACUCAGUUGCGCCCGAACAGUAUAACUUUGCAACGAGUGCUUUUUCUCAUUUUAUCGAAGAAAGCGUCAAACCUCAUUAUAUUGUUCUAUUAUGCCGAGAGAGUGUAAAUUUGGAACGAAUCGAUGUCAACGCUCACAAGAACAAAAACCGGAACAACAUUAGACUCUUCAGUUGCACCCUAACAGUAUAACUUUGCAACGCGUACUUUUUCUCGUUUUAUCGAAGAAAGCGUAAAAUCUAAUUAUAUUGUUGUAUUAUGCCCAGAUAGUGUAAAUUUGGAACGAAUCGAUGUCAACGCUCACAAGAACAAAAACCGGAACAACAUUAGAGCACUCAGUUCCGCCAUAACAGUAUAACUUUGCAACGAGUGCUUUUUUUCAUUUUAUCGAAGAAAGCGUAAAACCUAGUUAUAUUAUUCUAUUAUGCCCAGAGAGUGUAAAUUUGGAACGAAUCGAUUUCAACGCUCACAAGAACAAAAACCGGAACAACAUUAGACUACUCAGUUGCGCCCUAACAGUAUAACUUUGCAACGAGUACUUUUUCUCAUUUUAUCGAAGAAAGCGUAAAAUCUAAUUAUAUUGUUCUAUUAUUCCCAGAUAGUGUAAAUUUGGAACGAAUUGAUGUCAACGCUCACAAGAACAAAAACCGGAACAACUUUAGACUACUCAGUUGCGCCUAACAGUAUAACUUUGCAACGAGUACUUUUUCUCAUUUUAUCGAAGAAAGCGUCAAAACUAAUUAUAUUGUUCUAUUACGCCCAGAGAGUGUAAAUUUGGAACGAAUUGAUGUCAACGCUCACAAGAACAAAAACUGGAACAAAAUUAGGCUACUUAGUUGCGCCCUAACAGUAUAACUUUGCAACGAGUGCUUUUUCACAUUUUAUCGAAGAAAGCGUCAAACCUAAUUAUAUUGCUCUAUAAUGCCCAGAGAGUGUAAAUUUGGAACGAAUCGAUAUCAACACUCACAAAAAUAAAAACCGGAACAACAUUUGAGUACUCAGUUGCGCCUUAACAGUAUAACUUUGCAACCAGUACUUUUUCUCAUUUUAUCGAAGUAAGCGUCAAACCUAAUUAUAUUAUUCUAUUAUGCCCAGAGAGUGUAAAUCUGGAACGAAUCGAUGUCAACGCUCACAAGAACAAAAACCGGAACAACAUUAGACUACUCAGUUGCGCCAUAACAAUAUAACUUUGCAACGAGUACUUUUUCUUAUUUUAUCGAAGAAAGCGUAAAUCCUAAUUAUAUUAUUCUAUUAUGCCCAGAGAGAGUAAAUUUAGAACCAAUCGAUGUCAACGCUCACAAGAACAAAAAUCGGAACAACAAUAGACUACUCAGUUGCACCCUAACAGUAUAACUUUACAACGAGUGCUUUUUCUCAUUUUAUCGAAGAAGGCGUCAAACCUAAUUAUAUUGUUCUAUUAUUCCGAGAAAGUGUAAAUUUGGAACGAAUCGAUGUCAAAGCUCACAAGAACAAAAACCGGAACAAUAUUGGACUACUCAGUUGCGCCCUAACAGUAUAACUUUGCAACGAGUGCUUUUUCCCAUUUUAUCGAAGAAAGCGUAAAUGCUAAUUAUAUUGUUCUAUUAUGCCCAGAGAGUGUAAAUUUGGAACGAACCGAUGUCAGCGCUCACAAGAACAAAAACCGGAACAACAUUAGACUAAUCAGUUGCGCCCGAACAGUAUAAUUUUGCAACGAGUGAUUUUUCUCAUUUUAUCGAAGAAAGCGUCAAACCUAAUUAUAUUGUUCUAUUAUGCCCAGAGAGUGUAAAUUUGGAACGAAUCGAUGUCAACGCUCACAUGAACAAAAAUCGGGACAACAUUAGACUACUGAGUUGCGCCCUAACAGUAUAAAUUUGCAACGAGACCUUUUUCUCAUUUUAUCGAAGAAAGCAUCAAACCUAAUUAUAUUGUUCUAUUAUGCCCAGACAGUGUAAUUUUGGAACGAAUCGAUGUCAACGCUCACAAGAAUAAAAACCGGAACAACAUUAGACUACUCAGUCGCGCCCUAACAGUAUAACUUUGCAACGAGUACUUUUUCUCAUUUUAUCGAAGAAAGCGUCAAACCUAAUUAUAUUGUCUAUUAUGACCAGAGAGUGUAAAUUUGGAACGAAUCGAUGUCAACGCUCACAAGAACAAAAACCGGAAGAAAAUUAGACCACUUAGUUGCGCCCUAACAGUAUAACUUUGCAACGAGUACUUUUUCUCAUUUUAUCGAAUAAAGCGUAAAACCUAAUUAUAUUGUUCUAUUAUGCCCAGAGAGUGUAAAUUUGGAACGAAUCGAUGUCAACGCUCACAAGAACAAAAACCGGAAUAACUUUAGACUACUCAGUUGCGCCAUAACAAUAUAACUUUGCAA